CUUGCACAUGGGUUAGUCGA
RNAcentral lists this small nuclear RNA (20 nucleotides) under Arabidopsis thaliana (thale cress). Its description in RNAcentral is "snRNA_03894". Lineage: Eukaryota; Viridiplantae; Streptophyta; Magnoliopsida; Brassicales; Brassicaceae. The record is from RNAcentral.